RNAcentral lists this long non-coding RNA (338 nucleotides) under Polistes fuscatus (common paper wasp). Its description in RNAcentral is "uncharacterized LOC122513342". The record is from RNAcentral. Lineage: Eukaryota; Metazoa; Arthropoda; Insecta; Hymenoptera; Vespidae.
UGUCAUUCGUAUCGAUCGAUUCGUGGGAAUAUUAAAAAUGAACAGAAUGAAAUUGUCGAAGUAUAUCGAUCGAUUUAUUUCGAGUUGAUUAAUUAAUCGAGCGUUUCGUGUCCUUUUCCGAUGCUGGUUUAUAUAAAGUCUUUUACAAGAGAUAAAUUAUUCCAAUUUCCGGCGAUCGUGUGGGGCAUUAUGAAACGAGGCACGAAGUAACAGCACCGAGCCGAUGGAUAUUGAGAUCGGCGGAUGGACGUGCCAAUCGUUGGGAAGUCCGAACUCGGAGGAAAGUACGAAGCCGGGAUCCGGCGUGGUCUUCUUGGUUGUUCUUGUCGUCAUUGGCA